GCUCAGCUUUGGACAUGUGGGCAGGGGUUCCGGUGGAGAGACAGAGUCAGGGGUCUCCAGGCUAGCCGGGCGAACACACCACGCGUAGGUGCCCAGAGCCCCGCCGGUGUCCCACCAGUUUCCACUGGGGAUUGCUGAGGGACUCCCAGACCUGGAGCUGGAGGAGGGGCCCCCAGNGGGCUGGCUGGCAGGCAGUUGCCUAGCCCCAAGCCGGGCGAACACACCACGCGUAGGUGCCCAGAGCCCCGCCGGUGUCCCACCAGUUUCCACUGGGGAUUGCUGAGGGACUCCCAGACCUGGAGCUGGAGGAGGGGCCCCCAGAAUGGCUGGACGGCCCAUCAAACAGGCAAGGCUGCAGUGCUUACCCCCUGCUCUUGCCACGAUCCGAAUGGGUGGGGUUGAGGGUUCCCAGCCUCAGAUGGGUCUGAGCUGGUGGUGGGGGGCGGUUUUUGUGAAACCAGAGCAAGUAGCAGGAAGGUCAUGGCCCCAGGGCAGGAUCAGGGGCCAAAGGCUGUUGACAGAGACUGGUUCCUGCUUCCUCCCCACCCCCGUGGGGCGGGGCUGACCUGGAUGCCAGCCAGGGCGCAACUCCCCCACCAACCCUCAUACCCCGGCACAGAAGGACCUAGAGACAGCGAGGGCCGGUCCUCGGAAGAUGCGGGUGCCCAGACGUCAGGGCGUCAGGCAGUUCAGGGUGGGGACAGAUACCCCGUGGCCCAGAAGUGGGAGUGGAGACCACUGGAGAGGUGAGAGCAGGGCAGGGCAGUGACCCGACCUCCCUGCGGGUCAAAGUGACAACUGUGGGUCCCGCAGAAGGGCGGACCAGGUGGACUCCCCCUCCCAGGGACACCCGGUGGAACAGACGCUGCUGGGGGAGCCCUGGGGAGUUGGGGCCCUCCAAAGGGGACAGGCAAGGCUGCCGAGGCCCCUACGCCUCCGGGGUGUCUCCACAGUGCUGCAUGUGCGCCCCUUGGGGAGGGGCCAUCAGGGCGGGUGCUGGUCGAGGAGCGGACAGCUGACUGGGGCAGCAGGACAGAGCGCCUGGCAGCCCAGCCACCUUCCCCAGGGAGGGGAGGGCAGGGGAAGCACUGAGACCCCAGCCUGCCCGACGGCGCGGGACCUGGUUGACCGUCUGAGCUGGAAGGCCUGUCACAACAGCGUCCCCCAUGUCAGCCAGAGGCCCUGUGAGCACCCCCGUGCUUGGGCGCUCCGAUCCGACAGAUCUCACGCAACCAUUCACAGGCCGCAGGAACCAAAAAGCGGGAAGACCCCAAGCGCACGCAGGUGGGCCCCAGGCUGUGUCCCCAGGCCGAGUCCGGUGCCUCUCUCUGAGAUGGGGGCGGGAAACCAAGGGCCGGCAGCCACCCUGGCCAGAUGGAGAACCCAGGGCAAGGAGGGCGCUGGAGGAAGCAGAACGAGAUGUCGAAACUGUGGGCACACGGAUUCCCCGGCAGUGACGGCAACAGGCCAGGUUGGAAAACAGAACGAGAAAGAGCCCAUGUAAAGUAAAACUAUAAUACCGGAAAUUUUCAAAAUCUAAUAGAAGGGUUGAAGGGUGAGUUGAGGAAGUCUCGCAGAAGACAGAACCAAACCCCAUGAGAUGGUCGGUGAGCGCCCGGGCCCUGAGGAGGGCCCGCACCUGAGUGACAGGCGCCCCUUGGCCGCGGCAGCUUCUGAUGGGCGCGGGGUGAGGGGGCCGCAUGGACACUGCCCAGUUUACAUAUUUCCUUUUAAAAAUAUGUGAGAUGUCUCGAACUAAAAAGGUACAGAAAACAUCAGUUGCCUGAAGAAAGAAAAUGUCAGGGGCACUGGGCGCACGGCUCUGAUCUCAGAGUUGUGAGUUCGAGGCCCACGUGGGGCGUAGAGAUGAUGUCCAAAAACCAAGAAAGAAGGAAAGAAAAUGUCAAAGGUGCCUUGGAAGUGCCCACUGUUGCCUCCGCUGCCCGCGUCCCGCGGAGAGUCCCGCCGCCUUCAACCGCUUGCUCCCUGUGUCCGUGCCCCCGGCCUCUGAGCGUCCAGUUGAGGCACGGUAUCGGGAGCGUGGACUGCGGGGCACGGCGUGGCCGAGUCUGCUGACUCGCCCGCUCCACGCUACGUCUCCGAGGCCCAGUCGUGUCAGUCCACGUGGUGCUGGCUCAUUGCUUGUCCGCGUGGCUGCCUGGCCGCCGGGGUGAGGGGAAGACCCCAUUCCUGUGGCUGUGGCCGCCGGUGCCCCUCUGGGGCUCUUCCUCCCCUCUCCCUCCUCUCCUUUCCUCCCCGGCCCUGGCCCUGCACAAGCCUCCCCCGCCGUGUGCAGGGCGGUCUGUUCUCAGCCCGCAGCGCCCCGCCACCGCCACCGCCACCGUGCUUUAUUUUCAUGUAUGCGUACGCGCCGGUCUCUCCUGGGAGUUGAAAGUCAGGUUUAUCGAGGCCUCAUUUACAUACGCAGAAGCUUACCCUUGAGAAAUGUACAGUUCAGUGGUUUUGACAAACACCGUCCCGUAGCCGCCGUGAUCAAGAUACGGAACAUUUUAUCGCCCCACGUCCCUCCCGAGCCCCCGGCCGCCCCCGGGUGACUGCGUCGGGCGGGUCUGCCUCUCCGGAAAUAUCCUCUAAAUGGACCGUGUGGCCUUUUGUGCCUGGCUUCUUUCCAUGUGUCACCAAGCCUUGGAGGCUCCUCGCCAUCACGGCACACGUGGGCCAUGACUCCGCUUCUCCGCUCCCCAGCCUGCGGACCCCUGAGGCUUUGGGCUUUGGGCGCUCGGUGCCCGCGGCCUGGCGGGGGCUGCGCAGGUCUCAGGUGGCCGUGCAUGGUCCCUCCUCCCCCAGGAAGCACUUUAAGAGAAACCGCCGGGGAACCCAAAGGUGGGGGGCAGGCAGCCCGCGGAGCGUCCGACUCUUGGUUCAUCUCGGGGUGAUCUCAGGGUCGUGGGAUCGAGCCCCACAGCAGGCUCCAUGCUCAGCUCAUAGUCGGCUGCAGAUUCCCUCUCCCUCUGCACCUCCCUCACGCUCACUGUCUCUGAAAUAAGUAAGUAAAUCUAAAACACACAAAUAAGAGAGAGAAGCGGCCAGAUUCUUAGAGAGUGGCUGCUCAGCCCAAGGGCUGCAGCCACCCCGGCCCUCCCUGCCGGGGUGCAUUUCCGAGCCAUUCUAGCAAUGGGCACAGGCUCGGUGCCGGGGACCCCGGAACGAGCGGGGUGGCGUCUCUACACGUCUUUGAUGAAUCAUCUCUUCAAACCUAUUUCUCCUUGAAAAAAUUGGCUUUUUUUGUAAUCGAGUGAUAAGAGUUCCUUACACUUUCUGCACACAAGUCCCUUACCAGACACUUGGUGUGCGGGGAUUUGCUUCCAGUCCGUGGUCAUCUGUCCUCCAAAUCCUCGAUGUCUUUCAGAGAUCAGAGGCUCUUGAUUCUGAUGAAGUCUAAACACCAAGUUCUUCUCUGACGGCUUGUUUUUCCUAUGCCCCAUCUCAGGGAUCUUCGCCUGACCCGCGGUGGCCAGGCUGCUCCCCGCUCGCCGCAGGUGUGAUCGCUUUGACGCCGAGCAUUCCGGUCUGUGAUCGGUGCUAAUUCUGCGUCCGGUGCAACGGGAGUUUUGUCUAGUUUGUUGGGCAGACAGGUCCAGCUGCUCCCACGCCAUUUAUCGAAAAGAUGAUCCUUUUUGGGCGGCUCAGGUCAUGAUCCCAGAGUCCUGGGAUCAAAUCCCGCCUCGGGCUCCCUGCUCAGCGGGGAGUCUGCUGCUCCCCCUGCUUGUGCUCUCUCUCUGUCAAUGAAUAAAUUAAAAUAAUAAUAAUAAUAAAAUAAAAUUUUUUAAAAAUAUGUUUUUCAUAAAUUGACCUUGUAUCCUAUGAUCUUGCUAAGCUCACUUACUGGUUCUGGUUACGUUGGUAGAUUCUUUGGGUUUUUCUGCAGAGGGGAAUGUGCAGGCUGAAGAAGGGAGACCCUCCUGCUCAGUCUGAGAACGUUCCGUCCACUCCUAGUUUGCUUGGAGGCUUUUCUCUUCUUUUUUCUUUCCUUUUCUCUUUUUCUUUCUUUCUUUUUCUUUCUUUCUUUCUUUCUUUCUUUCUUUCUUUCUUUCUUUUUCUUUCUUUCUCUGUCAUGCAUGGAUGUUGCAUUUUAUCAGCCUUUUAUUUUUUACGAGAUGAUCUGAUUUUU
RNAcentral lists this long non-coding RNA (4132 nucleotides) under Ailuropoda melanoleuca (giant panda). Its description in RNAcentral is "lncRNA (ENSAMEG00000024159.1)". Lineage: Eukaryota; Metazoa; Chordata; Mammalia; Carnivora; Ursidae. The record is from RNAcentral.